This 226-nucleotide ribosomal RNA is filed under the name uncultured Acinetobacter sp. RNAcentral's name for it is "partial 16S ribosomal RNA". It matches the Rfam family "Bacterial small subunit ribosomal RNA", at positions 568 to 792 of the family's 1533-position model. Lineage: Bacteria; Pseudomonadati; Pseudomonadota; Gammaproteobacteria; Moraxellales; Moraxellaceae. The record is from RNAcentral.
CGCGUAGGUGGCUAAUUAAGUCAAAUGUGAAAUCCCCGAGCUUAACUUGGGAAUUGCAUUCGAUACUGGUUAGCUAGAGUAUGGGAGAGGAUGGUAGAAUUCCAGGUGUAGCGGUGAAAUGCGUAGAGAUCUGGAGGAAUACCGAUGGCGAAGGCAGCCAUCUGGCCUAAUACUGACGCUGAGGCGCGAAAGCGUGGGGAGCAAACAGGAUUAGAUACCCCCAGUA